UGAGACUCUAUAUGAUUAUGCAUAUGAGACGGGUUCCAACCUGCCGUCUUUUUUGGAGAGAAGGGAGGCUUUAUCCUGAAUAAUUUAUUGGAAACCCCUUCCUAACACAAAAACAAAAGUCAAGUGAGCUCACUGCAGUGAAACAGCAAUUCAUCAGGACAUCUUAACUUGUCAUUCCUGGAUCCCAUUCUGUCUCCUCUCCCAUGCCCAAUCUUUGCUUAAUGAAAUACAUCACUUUUUAGGGGGAGAAGGAGGGUUUUCUCAGGCCAUAAUCUGCAUUCCCGAUGAGAAAGGUUGAGCCUCAUGGUUUGUUUUGAUAAAGCGAGUGGCUGGACAGAUGAUCUGAUCUAUAUAGGAGGUCUUUACUUUCUUGGCCUCUUUGUACUUAAAUCGCUGUUGGUGAACCUUAAAAAGGAAAUAUUUUAAAAAGACAUUUAACAUAUAGCCACAUGGAUUGUUAAAAAUCCCUUCAUGCUGUUUUAUUUAAUUUAGAAAGAAUAAAGACUAAGAAAAUAUAGAAAACAAUUUAACCGAUAGCAGUGCACUUACUACCCAUAAUGAACAAAUACAGGUGUCCUCAUAAUUGUUUCAGAUUUUUUUUUUUAAAAAGGUAAUUUUAAAGUCCCAUCUGUAUCCCUUCCUAAUAUCAUUUCCUUCUUUCCCUAGAAGCAAACAUUAUCCUAUUUACAAGGGUAUACUCUCAUUUCGUGUUUAUCCACAAACUGCAUAUGGAUUGAUUCGUAUGUUUUAAGAUUUAUGUCAAUGUCAUUAAAAUGUACACACCCGUUUACAUCUUUCAUCAACUCUUUUCUUAAACUCAUGCUUUCAUUUUUGGUAGUUGUCCCUAUUCAAUUCAUUCAUCAUUUGGUUUUUGGUAAUUAUCCAUACUGACAUAUGUCGAUUUAGUUCAUUCAUUGGAACAGUUUCAGUAGGAAGAUGUAGUGUAUGGAGAGGCCAGAAUUUAUCUAGACACUCCAUUUUCCAUGAGCAUUCAGAUUCUUUCUAAUUUUUUUGCUAUUAUUAACAAAGUUGCUACAAAAAAAUACCCUUGAGUGCUCAUGAGAAAAUUUCUUCAGUAAAAUCCUUGAACUAAAUGACUAGGUUUAAAUUUUACUAAACAUCGCCAGAUUGCUCUCCCAAGAGGCUGUAUUAUAUUGUAGCUCUCCAGCAAGGUAUAAAGUUUCCACUUAACAUUUCACCACAUUCUCUUGAUAAUGCGCAUUUUUUCUCAGUGUUUUAAUUUGCAUUUCCCUGGUCACGAUAAGGAUGGGAACGAGUACUGCUUCAUAUGUUCACUGACUAUCAAGUUUAUUCUUCCUUUGCGAAUUGAACUUUCUAAUGCAUCUGCCUUUUUUGCUAUUUGCUUUAUCUUUUUCUUAAUGAUUUGUAGAAACUCUGAGUAUUAAUUUUCAUGGGUUAUCUGAGCUGCAAACAUCUCCUCCCCAUCUGUUGCUUUAAGUUUUGCCCAAAAUAUCUUCUGUCCUUCAAGAAACCUGAAUGUUGAUCUGUUGAACCUAUGAAUAUGUUCCUGCUUUAUAAAAAGUUUGCAGAAAGGUUUCUUUGCCGUAGGUCAUUAAAUUAAUUUCCAGUAUUUUCUUCUAAUGAUUUUCAAGUUUACUUCUCAUGUUGGUAUCUUGAAUCCACUGAAAGUUUGUUUAUACAUUUAUUUAUUUGUUUGUUUUGGAAAAGUGUGAGCUGAUGCUGUUCUAGCUUUGGACAACUUCUUCCCCAGAUGUCUUGCUGUGGGUGAAAAAACGAUCCUCUUAAGUCGCUAUUUGUUGGGCUUUCUAUUUCUUUGAGCCUAAUACCUUCUAAUGGCUACAUUAUUUUCUCUACUCACUCCAAAAACUCCCUUUAUGUGUAUCUCAGAGCUUACAAUUAUUUUUCUUCCAUCCUUCUAUUUUUAUUUUUCUUGGAGUGAUUUUGGGAAAUUACUCAACCUCUAUCUUCAUUUUCACAAAUUCUCUCUUUGACUACUUCUAAUCUCUUGUUUAACCUAUCUGGUGAGUAAUUCCCCUCCCUCCCAUUAACUGUAUUUAUUUCUACAAAUUUUGUUACUUUUUCACAUCUUCCUUUUUGGUUCUCAUUAUGUCCUUCCCAUGCCUGAUACACUUUAUUUCUUUCUUCAUAUAUGUACACUUCAAGCAAACUUACUUUAAAGUCCUACUUAUAUUGAUAUAUUAUUUGUGAUUCCUUGGGCAUGGCCAUUUAUUGUUUGCUGAUCAUCUCCUAGAUCAUUAGAUUUCUCCAAGAGUUGUUUAAACCAUGUCUUUAGUGUGAACUGUUUUUCACACUGUUGAUCUAUAUCCUGGCUUGCAGAGGCUUUCCUAUGGGAAUUUUCAUAGUUGCUUCUAAUAGGGCCACAAAGGAAAUUGCAGGACCCAAUUUUUACAUUUACAUCUUGACUUAAGGUUUUUGCAUCAGGUAGGUGGUUUAAGGUUUCUGAUCUCACACCUGCAAGAAAUGCAAUUUGGGGGAGUCUGUUUCUCGGGCCAUGAGCCAAGUUUUUUUUUUUUUAAUUCUAUAUUAAAGAACAGGAAAGACAUUUACUAUUCCUGGCUCUGGUUAAAGGGCUCAGUUCUCACUCCUAUACCAAGUGGGGAGAUUUGGCCUCAAUUUCAGCUUCCACAAAGGCUUUAAAACCUCAGCCUGUGAGACACAUACCUCGUUUCGUUACUCUUGUGGCCAUGUAGUUCCAACUCACACUCACGGCAAUGUAUUUGGCACCUGGAGUUUCUCAUUUUUUGCUUUUGAGCUUGGCUAUGUACUUGGAAUUUUUUUUUUUUUUGUCUUUUUGCCUUUUCUAGGGCUGCUCCCGUGGCGUAUGGAGGUUCCCAAGCUAGGGGUCUAAUCCGAGCUGUAGCCACUGGCACUGGCCUACACCAGAGCCACAGACAGCAACGUGAGAUCUGAGCCGCAUCUGCAACCUACACCAGAGCUCUUGACAACGUGAGAUCUGAGCCCCACUGAGCAAGGCCAGGGAUUGAACCCCCAUCCUCAUGGUUCCCCCCCAUCCUCAUGGUUCCUAGUCAGAUUUGUUAACCACUGUGCCAUGACAGGAACUCCUGUACUUUGAAUUUUUAAAAGCCAUAUAUAUUAUGUAGUAUUUCUAUGUGUUUUGAGUAGGAGCAGGGGCUUCAUAUAUGAGCACAGUCUGCUGUCCUGACCUAGAACCACUUUCACCUCUUUAUUGGCAGCUGCCAAGUCACACAUGGCUUGUGCUCCAGAUAUGCAUUUGUAAGUCAGUAAACAUGAAGUCAGAGGAUAUUUUUCCCAUACCAAGAGAGUGGUGUGGUGAUUAGAAAAACAUAAUGCAAGUGUCAUUGCUUAGGACAGGUGAGCUACAAGGUUUGGGUUUCCUUACGAGAAAUACAGGUUACUAUCUCAGGAUACAUUCUCCAUUGUCCCAAAUCCAGUUUGCAGUCUUGCAGGUUCAGCAAUGUAAUUUAUUUGCACACCAGUUGUGGAUUCAUCUCUCAGAUAAGGACUCAUUCAGAUAGAACCAUCUGAAGCAUAAAACCAGGAUGCCAACUUUAUAAUUUAUCGUGAGGACGGUAACUACGGAAGGACUGGACACUGUGAUGUCCUGGAGCACAUUUUCUCCCUGGAGGCGACCUCUGUGGGAAGCCACAUAAUAAUCAGGAGGUUUCCUAUUGAACAAGGAAUCUAAGUGAAGGGAAGGGGUUUUUAAUUAUGAUCUUGAAAACUGUAAUAGCCUCAGGGCCUGACAGUUUGCUGAAUCCAUGGCAGUAACAGGCGACUUCCUUGCCAGAGAGACCAUCACAUCCAAAGCCCAUUUGACAAGGUGUCCUGUCCACUGGACAGAGCCUCGGUGGUCACUGCCAGCCAUUGUUUCUCUUGAUUCUCUUUUUUAUGCUUCCAUGAAUGAGCCUAUUCUUUCUUUAGAUUGAAUAGCUUCAGUCCAGUCUGGGGUCUGGGAGCCACUCUGUUUUAACGUGAUUGUGCAAAGCUUCUCUCUCACUCACUCUGGGUGAUUUCAUGGUUUAACUCUCGGUGUGUAAUCUUAUUCCUGGCUCCUUGUUAGGAGGGACGAUGACCAGUCACAGCUGACCCCCUUCCAUCUGCAGCAAUGCCUUUAAUCAUGAUUUUUUUCUCCCUCACUUUGUAUUAGAAACAUUUCAAAUUUACAGAAAUGUUGGAAGAAUAGUUCAGGAACCAUUUAUGCCCUUCACCUGUAUUCGAUGCUGAUAUUAUUUUGUUUCAUUUAUAUUUGUGUAUACAAACAUCUCUUUUUGUUUGGAUGAGCCAUGAAAUAGUAUGUAGGCUUCAUGCAACUUAACCACUCAAUAAAUCAACAUACCUUUCCAAAGAGGAACUACUUUCUUUUAUAUAAUUACAGUUACCAUCAUCACACCCAAGAAAAGAACUAUUAACUUGUAUUCCAGAUUGAAAUUUCUCUAAUUGUUCCGACAAGAUCUUCUACAAGCACUAUAAUUAAUCAUAUUUUUGGGUGAAAAUGCAUUCAGAGUUUCAAGUGUCAAACACCUUAGCUUGCACUCCGUACAACCUAAGAUAGGCAUGAUCUCCCUCUCCUGCUCCUCCCACUUCCAUCUGUUCUUUCUUUUUCCGUCAUUUGUCUUUUUAGGGCCACACCCUCAGCAUAUGGAGUUUCCCAGGCUAGGGGUUGAAUCAGAGCUACAGCACAGCCACAGCAAUGGCAGGAUCCAAGUACACUAGCCUGCGCCACAGCCACAGCAAUGGCAGGAUCCAAGCCGCGUCUGCGACCUAUACAACAGCUCAUGGCAACGCUGGACCCUUAACCCACGGAGAGAGGCCAGGGAUUGAACCUGUGUCUUCAUGGAUACUAGUUGGGUUUGUUAACCACGGAGCCACAACGGGAACGCCUCCACCUGUUGUUUGAAGGGGAGGAUCAGGCAUGAGGAAAUUAUAACAAGACCAAGAAGGGAAAGCCAAUUUAUAGGUAAUGAUAGAGUUAAGAUUAUGCUAAUAAUCUUAUUGAUUUUAACAAACUAUAUAUCCUCAUCCAUAUGUUUUCCAAAUACAUUCAGGGUUAAACCUUUAUAUUCAGGCAUUGCUGUUGAAUAGCCAGGUGCAGGGGCACCAAAAAUUUACAUUGAAAGGAGCUUUCAAGACUCCAUUUGUUUUACUCUACUGUGCUACUACUUACCAAGAGCUCUGUUGCCCACUAUUACCUGGCUUCACUUCAGGACGAUGUCCGAAGGCAUCUAUCUUUUAAAAAGUUAGCA
RNAcentral lists this long non-coding RNA (5228 nucleotides) under Sus scrofa (pig). RNAcentral's name for it is "lncRNA (ENSSSCG00015053273.1)". The record is from RNAcentral. Lineage: Eukaryota; Metazoa; Chordata; Mammalia; Artiodactyla; Suidae.